RNAcentral lists this unclassified non-coding RNA (720 nucleotides) under Hevea brasiliensis (rubber tree). The record is from RNAcentral. Lineage: Eukaryota; Viridiplantae; Streptophyta; Magnoliopsida; Malpighiales; Euphorbiaceae.
AAAAUAUGUUGUGAUGAAGAGUACACCCCUUCUAGAGAAGAAGAGAGAAGUCAAAUCUGGAAGGUGAACAAGAUAGCAAAUAGGAGAAACAUAUAAAUAGAUCCUUGACAAUGAAACCAUCACAAACAAUCAGCGAUGAUCUCCUCCUCCAUUAACAGCCACAUUAGCCAAAGCCUUUUUAUGGCGCCGACCCUUCUUUAGACCCCAGCCCUCCAAUUUAGCGAUAGGACAUCCACACCUCGCUCGGAAAAGCAAAACAGCCCUCCCAUUAGGUGGAGCCAUCUUCCGCAAUUCAGCUCGCAGACACUCAUAAUCAGGAUUCCCUUCACUCCCACCUUUCCAUGGCAACUUAUCGAUCUCCUUGGCCCCACUGGAUUUCACACAAUCCUCCGUCUGCAACUGCAAAUCGAACUCCAUCGCCUUCUUCAACCCCUUGCAUCCAGACUUCUCGCACUUGCGAGAUCUGGGCCCGCAGCAGAACUCAACAAAAAGGAUAGAAAGGAGGAACAGCGCCAAAAAACCGCAAAUGUAGGGUACGGGAGGGAUAUGGACGGAAAGAUGGGGGGAAGAGUGAGAGAGAAUAAUGGAAAGGGAGCGAAAGAUAUAGGAAAAGUAAGAAGUUAAGAGGAAAAUCCCAGAGAAAAGAACCAGAAUCAGAAUUAGAAUGUCGAGGGUGGCAGAUGGAGAGUGUUUACACAGAAGGGAAGAAGAAGAAGAAGA